This 353-nucleotide unclassified non-coding RNA is filed under the name soil metagenome. RNAcentral describes it as "partial contains 5.8S ribosomal RNA, internal transcribed spacer 2, and large subunit ribosomal RNA". The stretch from base 1 to 120 matches the Rfam family "5.8S ribosomal RNA", at positions 35 to 154 of the family's 154-position model. The record is from RNAcentral.
GAUGAAGAACGCAGCGAAAUGCGAUAAGUAAUGUGAAUUGCAGAAUUCAGUGAAUCAUCGACUCUUUGAACGCACAUUGCGCCCGCCAGUAUUCUGGCGGGCAUGCCUGUUCGAGCGUCAUUACAACCCUCAGGCCCCCGGGCCUGGCGUUGGGGAUCGGCGGAAGCCCCCUGCGGGCACAACGCCGUCCCCCAAAUACAGUGGCGGUCCCGCCGCAGCUUCCAUUGCGUAGUAGCUAACACCUCGCAACUGGAGAGCGGCGCGGCCACGCCGUAAAACACCCAACUUCUGAAUGUUGACCUCGAAUCAGGUAGGAAUACCCGCUGAACUUAAGCAUAUCAAUAAGCGGAGGA